Molecule: long non-coding RNA, 248 nt
Filed under: Pan troglodytes (chimpanzee)
Lineage: Eukaryota; Metazoa; Chordata; Mammalia; Primates; Hominidae
Description: long non-coding RNA NONPTRT015840
Source: RNAcentral
AAAAGAAUUAACAAAUUGGGAUAAGCAACAUAAAAGGUGAAGCUGGUUUAUAAAUAAAUAAUUAAACAGACAAUAGAAACAAACAUAUGAGAAAUUCAAAAAUCAAAGUGAUCAUGUAGUUUAAGAUAAUAAUUAUUAAUAUGUUUAUGAAAUAGAUAAUAAAAUUAGGAAUUUCGGCAGAAAAAUAGGAACUAUAAAGAGAAUCGAAUGGAAAUUCUAGGAAUGAAAAAUAUAAUAGUUGAACUUAG